UACAGAGGGUGCGAGCGUUGUCCGGAAUCACUGGGCGUAAAGGUCGCGUAGGUGGCGUGGUAAGCGUGUGGUGAAAGUCCGGGGCUCAACCCCGGAUCCGCCGUGCGAACUGCUAGGCUUGAGCAUUGUAGAGGCAGGUGGAAUUCCGGGUGUAGCGGUGGAAUGCGUAGAGAUCCGGAAGAACACCAGUGGCGAAGGCGGCCUGCUGGGCAAUUGCUGACACUGAGGCACGACAGCGUGGGGAGCAAACAGG
This 253-nucleotide unclassified non-coding RNA is filed under the name uncultured Gemmatimonadaceae bacterium. RNAcentral's name for it is "contains 16S-23S intergenic spacer region". It matches the Rfam family "Bacterial small subunit ribosomal RNA", at positions 524 to 776 of the family's 1533-position model. The record is from RNAcentral. Lineage: Bacteria; Pseudomonadati; Gemmatimonadota; Gemmatimonadia; Gemmatimonadales; Gemmatimonadaceae.